UUUCCGUAGGUGAACCUGCGGAAGGAUCAUUAAUGAGUUGUCAUGGGGUUCGAUGCUGGCAGCCAAUUUUUGGAUGCAUGUGCUUGCCCUAACAAUCAUCUUCCAAACACCUGUGCACAUUUUUGAGGGAGUCUUGAGUUGGUUGCCGCUCUUGGGUGAUUUUCUCACAUUCCCUUAAAUCAUUAUACGCUAUUAACAAUGAUGAACGUGCUCUGUGCCGCAAGGCUAUUAAUAUAAUACAACUUUUAACAACGGAUCUCUUGGCUCUC
Molecule: unclassified non-coding RNA, 269 nt
Filed under: plant metagenome
Description: partial contains small subunit ribosomal RNA, internal transcribed spacer 1, and 5.8S ribosomal RNA
Source: RNAcentral